Molecule: ribosomal RNA, 490 nt
Filed under: uncultured bacterium
Lineage: Bacteria
Description: bacterial SSU rRNA
Rfam family: Bacterial small subunit ribosomal RNA
Source: RNAcentral
CUAYGUGCCAGCAGCCGCGGUAAUACGUAGGGCGCGAGCGUUGUCCGGAAUUAUUGGGCGUAAAGGGCUUGUAGGCGGUUGGUCGCGUCUGCCGUGAAAUUCUCUGGCUUAACUGGGGGCGUGCGGUGGGUACGGGCUGACUUGAGUGCGGUAGGGGAGACUGGAACUCCUGGUGUAGCGGUGGAAUGCGCAGAUAUCAGGAAGAACACCGGUGGCGAAGGCGGGUCUCUGGGCCGUUACUGACGCUGAGGAGCGAAAGCGUGGGGAGCGAACAGGAUUAGAUACCCUGGUAGUCCACGCUGUAAACGUUGGGCACUAGGUGUGGGGGCCACCCGUGGUUUCUGCGCCGUAGCUAACGCUUUAAGUGCCCCGCCUGGGGAGUACGGCCGCAAGGCUAAAACUCAAAGGAAUUGACGGGGGCCCGCACAAGCGGCGGAGCAUGCGGAUUAAUUCGAUGCAACGCGAAGAACCUUACCAAGGCUUGACAUGC